ACGAUGUCCCGUGGUGCUGGUUCGUCCCGCCCGUGAGGGUGGGACGUCGUAAGAGGGAACCCGGUGCGAGACCGGGACUGCCCCGCAGCGGUGAGUGGGAACGACCGCCGUCAACGAAGCACUGGACCGUGAGGUCUGGGAAGCGACGGCCAGUAGGCGACCUGUGUGUCACGCCCACGAGUCCGAAGACCUGCCAGCGCCGCGCACACCGC
Molecule: non-coding RNA, 212 nt
Filed under: Micromonospora yangpuensis
Lineage: Bacteria; Bacillati; Actinomycetota; Actinomycetes; Micromonosporales; Micromonosporaceae
Source: RNAcentral